GAUGAACGCUGGCGGCGUGCCUAAUACAUGCAAGUCGAGCGAACAGACGAGGAGCUUGCUCCUCUGACGUUAGCGGCGGACGGGUGAGUAACACGUGGAUAACCUACCUAUAAGACUGGGAUAACUUCGGGAAACCGGAGCUAAUACCGGAUAACAUGUUGAACCUCAUGGUUCAACAGUGAAAGACGGUCUUUCUGUCAGUUAUAGAUGGAUCCGCGCCCCAUUAGCUAGUUGGUAAGGUAACGGCUUACCAAGGCAACGAUGCGUAGCCGACCUGAGAGGGUGAUCGGCCACCCUGGAACUGAGACACGGUCCCGACUCCUGCAGGAGGCAGCAGUAGGGAAUCUUCCGCAAUGGGCGAGAUCCUAACGGAGCAACGCCGCGUGAGUGAAGAAGGUCUUCGGAUCGUAAAACUCUGUUAUUAGGGAAGAUCAAAUGUGUAAGUAACUAUGCACGUCUUGACGGUACCUAAUCAGAAAGCCACGGCUAACUACGUG
This 497-nucleotide ribosomal RNA is filed under the name uncultured bacterium. RNAcentral describes it as "partial 16S ribosomal RNA". It matches the Rfam family "Bacterial small subunit ribosomal RNA", at positions 28 to 507 of the family's 1533-position model. The record is from RNAcentral.